Molecule: ribosomal RNA, 426 nt
Filed under: uncultured bacterium
Lineage: Bacteria
Description: bacterial SSU rRNA
Rfam family: Bacterial small subunit ribosomal RNA
Source: RNAcentral
UGGGGAAUUGUUCGCAAUGGGCGCAAGCCUGACGGCGCAACGCCGCGUGGAGGAUGAAGAUCUUCGGGUCGUAAACUCCUUUCGAUCGAGACGAACGGCCCCCGGGUGAAUAAUCCGGGGGAGUGACGGUACCGAGAGAAGAAGCCCCGGCUAACUCCGUGCCAGCAGCCGCGGUAAUACGGGGGGGGGCAAGCGUUAUUCGGAAUUACUGGGCGUAAAGGGCGCGUAGGCGGCCUGAGAAGUUCUGGGUGAAAGUCCUCGGCUCAACCGGGGAAUUGCCUGGAAAACCAUCGGGCUGGAGUGCUGGAGAGGCCGGCGGAAUUCCUGGUGUAGCGGUGAAAUGCGUAGAUAUCAGGAGGAACACCCGAGGCGAAGGCGGCCGGCUGGACAGACACUGACGCUGAGGCGCGAAAGCCAGGGGAGCAA